Oenanthe melanoleuca is the source of this 2538-nucleotide long non-coding RNA. RefSeq lists it as uncharacterized. NCBI's taxonomy places the organism in Eukaryota, Metazoa, Chordata, Aves, Passeriformes, Muscicapidae. The transcript has 4 exons. The record is from RefSeq and is a predicted model, not a curated record.
AUUGACGUUAUGCUUUUGACUUAAGAUCAAAAGAGACUGAUUUGAUCUCUCUCUGAUCAUCAGGUGAGACUAAUGUCACUGUAUGCCUACAAAAUAUCACAAAUGUGCACUUAAUAUUGAGAGAUCUGUUGGGACUUUUCUAAAGAGAAAACAAAGAGAGAUUUGAUACAUAUCUGUCUUGAGGGGUGUAUUAUGUUAUUCUGGCAUUAUGAUAAAGGCUUUAAUUACAUGAUCACACUGUUUUUCCACAGUAUUGUUGUCUGAAACAGAGAACAGAAAUGGCAGUGACCAGUUAAUGAGUUAUUCAUUGAUUUUUAUUGUCAGUGCUGGGUUACUUGGUUCAUCUCUUCACAUUUUCUAACCCUGGUGAGAGGACUGAAUUAUUCAUUUUCCUGUGGGCUUGUAUUUGACUGCUGUUCACCAUUAUGAUGUUUCAGUGCUCUGCUAACUUCGCCUUUGUUAUACUGUUGUGAUGUCUCAGUGUUACUGACACUACAUUGAGAGACUGAGGACAAGUCUGCUGUUUUCAGAUGCCCGGUGUGAAACUCUUGUGAUGUCACAGAAAUGCACUUGUUUGAAGCGCAGCUUUCCCACACCCACCAGCUUCUGGAGCAAUUGAAGCAGAGGAACUAUAAUUUUUAUUUUUUUUCUUUUUCUCCUGGUCAAUACCAAUUUAUCCUCCAAGCACUACAGAAUGUAAGUAAUGGACAUCUGGAAAAAUCCCAAGUGAGUAAUUCCAGUUUGCAGGUGUUAGGUUGUGGAUGUUCUGGCUGACACCUGACAGAAGUAAUUUUAGUUGAAAUGGUUGAUAUAUUCAGAUUUCAGGCAAAGUAUGUACUUGUUCUUGAUCUCGAUGUUUGUAGAGUUAUGGUCAAAGAUUCAACACACCCUCAAUUUUAGAAAACAAAACAACUGAAAAAGUCCCAAACACCAAAAGCAUUCUGGCCAUUACAUGUAUGUUUACAUUCUUCUAUAAAUGAGAUUAUCCAGCUCAUUUAAUGUUUGCAUUUCCUGUACCAGGCAUCACCCUGCAUGAAAAACCAACCAGCUAAGGGUUUUCUUCCCAAAGGAGAUUUUCUUUAUUUCAUAUGGCAGACAGUCAGACUGGUCCUACAUGUAAAUCCCUGCUGCUCCUGAUGCUCUUCUGGUCUCUCAUAUGCAUGGAAAUAGGCUCCAAGAGGAUAUGUUCCAAAAAACUUCUAGCACCUGAGGUAUCAGGAGUCCUACAGUGGCAUCAGCCAGGCCUUUCAGCUUUUCUUGAAUGAAUCCUCUCUAGGCCCAUGGAUCUGAAUACCUUUGUGAUGAUCCUGCCUUUCCUCUAAGGGAUGAAGACAAGAAUAUUUAUAGGGUUGGUCUUCUGUACCCAACUAGUGAUAUGUGAAAAACUCAUAAGAUUUUUGAGACCUCUGAGAUGUGCAGCCACCUAGUAAAUUUGGUUGAAACUGGUCAGCAAGAUAAAGAAGAUGCCAGGAUAGAUUGACAGUAUAAACUCUCCUCAGUAAAAUGGAGUAAAAUUGAAAGUUUGUAAUUUCAGCAAUGUUUAUGAUUUCAAGUUAAUGAUGUCUGUCCAAACAUUCUUACCUCAUGUAUUUUAACAACUAUAGCUAUUAAAACCUAUUCUUUAAGGAAUUCACAGCAAAUCAAAUGCAGGACACUAGAGCAGUGAACAAAGGAAAUUACAGAAUCAUCAUAAUGCUUUGUUUCCAGUGCUGAAAUCCCAGCCAUGAUUAUUUUAUUUAAACCAACUUCUCUGAAACAUUUUGCCCAAAAGUUUCAAUCAGUCAUGAAUUCAUCCAACCUGUCAUUGUCUGUUGGAUGUUCUGUUCUGCCCAUCCUGUCAUAAUGGAAAUAACAUGGAAGACCUGAACUUUCCAUCUACCUAGCAGUCCUCACCAAGCAUAUUUUCCUGGUUACACUGCAGAUAUUUUGACAUCCUUCUGGCCAAACAUGUCACAUCAUUUGACAAAAGCACAGCUGACACACGAUGGAGAAUCUGUGUGUCACACUUGCCACAUUGUGGGUUGUUGUUCUGGGAGACAAGGAGCUGGGGAUUUUAGCAGCUCUGGAGAUGCUCAGUGAGCUGGCAGCCUCCCAGCACAGGGCACUGCAGCUGUGGCAGAGGGAACUGAAAUGGGGGUCAGCCAGGACACUGCUAUUCCAGCUGUAGGAAAUUUGACUCAUCUAAGACCACGCCUGUGGCAGAAGGAGCUGAAGGCAGGCAUUGUCCUGCAGGGUGCUGAGGUGAUGGUGUCCUCAAACACAGGGCAAAUCCAGACAUGGCAACACUGUCACUGAGACCUGGAUCAGAUUUUUGAGUCACUGUGAUCUUCAAACAGGGGAAUUCAAGCAAUAGCCAAAUUGGCUAGAAACAAGCCACAGAUUGUCAAAACCUGUGAUGUCUUCCCCAGAUGCAUUAUUCCUUUGAGGUGGCUGAAAAAUGCAGCCUCACCAAGCAAGAAGAGUUUGCAGAUCUGCAGAAGGAAAGGAAGAAAGAAAAGAAGGAAGGAAAGAAAGGAAGGGAGAGAGAAAGAGAGAGAA